UACGAAGGGGGCUAGCGUUGUUCGGAAUCAUUGGGCGUAAAGCGCGCGUAGGCGGUUACUUAUGUCGGAUGUGAAAGCCCUCGGCUUAACUGAGGAAGUGCAUUCGAAACUGGGUAGCUAGAGUACUAAAGAGGGUCGCGGAAUUCCCGGUGUAGAGGUGAAAUUCGUAGAUAUCGGGAGGAACACCGGUGGCGAAGGCGGCGAUCUGGGUCGAUACUGACGCUGAGGUGCGAAAGCGUGGGGAGCAAACAGG
RNAcentral lists this ribosomal RNA (253 nucleotides) under uncultured bacterium. RNAcentral's name for it is "partial 16S ribosomal RNA". It matches the Rfam family "Bacterial small subunit ribosomal RNA", at positions 524 to 776 of the family's 1533-position model. The record is from RNAcentral.